This 329-nucleotide unclassified non-coding RNA is filed under the name soil metagenome. Its description in RNAcentral is "partial contains 5.8S ribosomal RNA, internal transcribed spacer 2, and large subunit ribosomal RNA". The stretch from base 1 to 120 matches the Rfam family "5.8S ribosomal RNA", at positions 35 to 154 of the family's 154-position model. The record is from RNAcentral.
GAUGAAGAACGCAGCGAAAUGCGAUAAGUAAUGUGAAUUGCAGAAUUCAGUGAAUCAUCGAAUCUUUGAACGCACAUUGCGCCCUCUGGUAUUCCGGGGGGCAUGCCUGUUCGAGCGUCAUUAUAACCACUCAAGCUCUCGCUUAGUAUUGGAGUUCGCGAUCUCGCGGCUCCUAAAAUCAGUGGCGGUGCCUGUCGGCUCUACGCGUAGUAAUACUCCUCGCGAUUGAGUCCGGUAGGUUUACUUGCCAGCAACCCCCAAUUUUUACAGGUUGACCUCGGAUCAGGUAGGGAUACCCGCUGAACUUAAGCAUAUCAAUAAGCGGAGGA